GAGGCAGCAGUGGGGAAUAUUGGACAAUGGGCGAAAGCCUGAUCCAGCGACGCCGCGUGGGUGAAGAAGGCCUGCGGGUUGUAAAGCCCUUUCGGUGGGGAAGAAAAGCCUCGACCUAACACGUCGGGGUCUUGACGUAACCCAUAGAAGAAGCACCGGCUAACUCUGUGCCAGCAGCCGCGGUAAUACAGAGGGUGCGAGCGUUAAUCGGAAUUACUGGGCGUAAAGCGCGCGUAGGCGGCUUUGCAAGUCGGGUGUGAAAUCCCCAGGCUUAACCUGGGAACUGCAUUCGAGACUGCAUUGCUAGAGUAUGGGAGAGGGAAGUGGAAUUUCAGGUGUAGCGGUGAAAUGCGUAGAUAUCUGAAGGAACAUCAGUGGCGAAAGCGACUUCCUGGACCAAUACUGACGCU
RNAcentral lists this ribosomal RNA (410 nucleotides) under uncultured soil bacterium C032. RNAcentral describes it as "bacterial SSU rRNA". It matches the Rfam family "Bacterial small subunit ribosomal RNA", at positions 345 to 747 of the family's 1533-position model. The record is from RNAcentral.